This 465-nucleotide ribosomal RNA is filed under the name Vreelandella stevensii. RNAcentral's name for it is "partial 16S ribosomal RNA". It matches the Rfam family "Bacterial small subunit ribosomal RNA", at positions 338 to 795 of the family's 1533-position model. The record is from RNAcentral. Lineage: Bacteria; Pseudomonadati; Pseudomonadota; Gammaproteobacteria; Oceanospirillales; Halomonadaceae.
CCUACGGGGGGCAGCAGUGGGGAAUAUUGGACAAUGGGGGCAACCCUGAUCCAGCCAUGCCGCGUGUGUGAAGAAGGCCCUCGGGUUGUAAAGCACUUUCAGUGAGGAAGAACGCCUGGUGGUUAAUACCCAUCAGGAAAGACAUCACUCACAGAGGAAGCACCGGCUAACUCCGUGCCAGCAGCCGCGGUAAUACGGAGGGUGCGAGCGUUAAUCGGAAUUACUGGGCGUAAAGCGCGCGUAGGUGGCUUGAUAAGCCGGUUGUGAAAGCCCCGGGCUCAACCUGGGAACGGCAUCCGGAACUGUCAAGCUAGAGUGCAGGAGAGGAAGGUAGAAUUCCCGGUGUAGCGGUGAAAUGCGUAGAGAUCGGGAGGAAUACCAGUGGCGAAGGCGGCCUUCUGGACUGACACUGACACUGAGGUGCGAAAGCGUGGGUAGCAAACAGGAUUAGAUACCCUUGUAGUC